GAGGGUAUAGCUCAAGUGGUAGAGCAUAUGCCCAGCAAGCAUGAGGUCCUGGGUUCGUUCCCCAGUACCUCCA
Molecule: transfer RNA, 73 nt
Filed under: Camelus bactrianus (Bactrian camel)
Lineage: Eukaryota; Metazoa; Chordata; Mammalia; Artiodactyla; Camelidae
Also listed under: 2 other names
Rfam family: tRNA
About the family: Transfer RNA (tRNA) molecules are approximately 80 nucleotides in length. Their secondary structure includes four short double-helical elements and three loops (D, anti-codon, and T loops).
Source: Rfam by way of RNAcentral